ACAAUGAUACUCCUGCAUAGUCGAGGUUGAGUCCCAGAGUGCAGCCCGGAGGUUCUCGGGGAGGUGAGAUUCCUGUGA
Molecule: regulatory RNA element, 78 nt
Organism: Desulfosporosinus sp.
Lineage: Bacteria; Bacillati; Bacillota; Clostridia; Eubacteriales; Desulfitobacteriaceae
Rfam family: pemK RNA
Source: Rfam